CCUACGGGAGGCAGCAGUAGGGACUCUUCGGCAAUGGGCGAAAGCCUGACCGAGCAACGCCGCGUGAAUGACGAAGGCCUUCGGGUUGUCACAUUCUGUUAUUAGGGAAGUAAGGUGAUAGGAGGAAAUGACUAUCAAUUGACGGUACCUUAUGAGACAGCCACGGCUAACUACGUGCCAGCAGCAGCGGUAAUACGUAGGUGGCAAGCGUUAUCCGGAAUUAUUGGGCGUAAAGAGCGCGCAGGUAGUUAAUUAAGUCUGAUGUGAAAGCCCACGGAUUAACCGUGGAGGGUCAUUGGAAACUGGUUGACUUGAGUGCAGAAGAGGGAAGUGGAAUUCCAGGUGUAGCGGUGAAAUGCGUAGAGAGAUGGAGGAACACCAGUGGCGAAGGCGGCUUCCUGGUCUGCAACUGACACUGAGGCGCGAAAGCGUGGGGAGCAAACAGGAUUAGAUACCCUUGUAGUC
This 465-nucleotide ribosomal RNA is filed under the name uncultured bacterium. Its description in RNAcentral is "partial 16S ribosomal RNA". It matches the Rfam family "Bacterial small subunit ribosomal RNA", at positions 338 to 795 of the family's 1533-position model. The record is from RNAcentral.